GUUGAAGAGUGUGCCUACUGCCCACAUGGGCUAGCGUUUAAAAUGUGCUGAGUAGCUGGAAGGAUCCUGAGUACAUUGGGCCCAGCAGGUCGGAUUAGAAGACGUGAAAUCUAGCUAAAAGAAACGGGCUACUACCAUUGAUCUUCCAGUUGUUGCCUAUUCGGUUACUGUUUACCGAGAGAGAUGAUGUGAAACAUGGGAAAAACAUGAAAAAAACUCAUUUUUUAGAGGAUCAGGAAUCCGCAGGUUUGUUUCACUAUAAAUGCUGCUGAAGUCUAGCUCUGGGACUUUGGCGGUUUUCUUAAGAGACAAGCUCUUUCCCUAGUAAGGGAAAACGAAACUCGUCCUAGCGCGCGAAAUACAGUAACAGCCGAACCGAAAGUAGGAGGCCUGGGAACUUUGGGCAAGGGCAGGACGUAACGCAGGUAAAUGCGCGUGUGCAGAAUGAAAAUGACCAAUGCAGAUCCUACAGGGGUGGCUUGUAGGCAGGGAGGACCCCAAUGAUAGACCAGGACGGAGGGGUGGGGAACACAGAAGGAAAGGGAUAUGAUUUUAGCUGGCGGGACCUGGACACCGUGGGAACAGCCCCGCCCAAGCAAAGGGCAGGCCGCACGGCCCAAAAGAAGGGGCGUGGCUUAGGAGAACCGCGGCUGCUAGCCUUUUACGUGUUGGAUGAAAACGGUGUGAGGGGCGUGGCAAAUGGACGAGUUCUCGGGAGGGGCGGUCCCAGGUGGAAGGCAAGUUUCCAGACUGGAGAACAGGGACAGAGGCUCCAGGGAGGAACUUCUGGAGGGUAGCACGAGUGAAGGCCUUACCACAGGUGUUCAGAUUCCUGCAAGUUACUUUGCAACUGAUGAAGAUUUCAAGCUAAAGAUGAUGGUGAUACAGAGCCUGAAGGUCACUCUUCAAGCAGCUCCCUGCAAUUCUCUGUGUAAAAGGUUCCCAGUUCCCAGAGUCUCUUGCUUUGGACUGACCAAGGGCAACAGCAGGGGGAGACCAGAGCUUGGGAAGGAAGAGGAGGAAGGAGAUGAGACCCCGAGGCGGGUUGGAAUAGGAAGCCUCGGGCCUUGGAUGCAGGAGUCAGGGCGUGAUGUACAGUUGUUAGGUUGGACACAUGAUGAAGGUGGUGAUUUAGCGAGACUGCCGAGUGGCGGAGCACAUGAGUUGGGGACAUGAGAGAACAGGGAAAGCCAUCAAGAGAUUCAGCACGAAGCCGGGGUGCCGGGGCCUCAGCUAGGCUGGUGGUCAUGGGCAACGCAAGGAAGAGAUGACCCUGAAAGAAUGUGGUCAUCAGUUACACAACUGGAAAUAAAGCGAAAAGGAGACCUGAACUGUCUUAAUGCGUUCGAGUUGCUAUAACACGAUACCUGGGACUGAGUGCUUUCCAAGCAGCAGAAAUUGCUUGCUCCUAGUUCUGAAAGCUGAGAGGGCCAAAGCUAAGGCACUGGCAGAUUUCAUGUCUGGUGGAGGCUUCCUGCUUUCAAAAUGGUUCCUUUUGCCUGUAUCACUCACCUGGUGGAAGGAGCCAGGGAAUAUCCUGGGGCCUCUUUGGUAAAGGCACUCAUCUCUUUCAUGAGGCUGCACCUUCCUGACCCAAGUACCUCCCUAAGGCCACUCCUCCUCAUACUCUCACCUUGGGGUAGAUGUUUCAACACCAAUUUGAGGAGGUGACAGUUAAGC
Long non-coding RNA from Fukomys damarensis (Damara mole-rat), 1680 nucleotides. NCBI's taxonomy places the organism in Eukaryota, Metazoa, Chordata, Mammalia, Rodentia, Bathyergidae. The record is from Ensembl.